CUCUAUCUUGUAUUUUAAUUAUUUCUACUUGUAAAUUCAUAUAAAACCCGCAUUGGCAAGUAAUUGCUUUUAACAAAAAUGUUCAAAUAAAAUUAUUUGAAUUUAGCAUUUUUGGAGAAGUUAUAAACUAUAUAGAUUCCUUAAAAACUACAAAGAAUAGCCGAUUACUUAAUGUUCUUUAAAUUGAUACUAUUACAAAAUUCGAAAUCGAUUUGUAUAUUCAAUUAGAAAUGUAUAAUAAUUACAGAUAAUUCUAUUACACUGUAAAAACUUAAUAAGUACUUGCGGGAAAUCGAUUUUUAAUUAGAGUGCGAGCGUGUUGCGGAAUUAGAGAAUUACUUAUGAGGAAGUCUAAGGGACGACGCCCUCACAGAAGCUGAUUGGAAUGCGGAGCAGAACAUGAGCCAGGCCGCCUUCGUUGCCGCCCACGUAACAUUUCAGGAUCAGGAUCGGAUCAGGCAUCGAGGAUAAAGGAUACAAAUGAGUUUGCAUUCGUUACACUUUGCCGCCAUUAAAUUGAAUUUCAUGUUGGAAAGGAUAUUAAGUGCAGAUCCUGGUUACCCUAAUUGUUACACAUUCUUCCCCCGUCCGCUCACGCACAUGGAGUACAAUGACUAAUUGUACGAUCUUUUUGACAGUUUGCCCUAAAGGCAAAAGAAUUCUCCAUUGUAAGGAUCAGCUGUGUAUGUGUGUGUGCUUGCGAGCAGGAUAUGAAGGAAAGAAGAAACCGUGGGAAACGAGGAGCGCACAAAAAAAGAAAGCGCAAAAGAAAAGAAAGAAAGAGCCAAACAACGGGAAAACCGAUCAAAAUCAGAGACCUAUACACCAGGCAAGGCAGUCAGGCAGUCACUCUUAGCUCAGGAUUAUUGGCAGCCAAAGGAAUUUCAGUUUUCUGAUUUCAUGUUCUAAUUUAGCGCCCAAAAACUCAACGAACCAGAACCAAAAGAAAAAAAAACCAGACUCACUCGCAGACUGAGACUGAGACUCAGACGGAGACUUGAUCGGCACUUAGGGGUUGCAAAGUGAUCGUGAGCCGCAAGUGUUGAGCCUCGGCGCAGGUUGCAUGCCACAGAAACAGAGCGGUGAAAGGUUUCAUAUUUCAUUGUGCAUUGUGCAACUGAGAUUCGAUAUCGAGAUCGAUGAGAGGGAGACGAUCGACAAUCGACUGGCAGGCAGGCAGACGAUCCUCUCGAGGCCAGGAUAAACAGUGUGUGGCUUCAGUUUGUGGCAGCAGUUUUGUGGAAUGUGAAAAUUUUAUCAAUUAAAUAUCACAAGCGACUCACGAGCGCAGCCAACGCUGCUGCUGCUGAUGAUGAUGAUCGGGCCUUGAGGUUAAGGCGUAGAUAGAGAUAGUUUCAGAGCUAGAGACAGAUAGAGCAAGAGACAUGCGAUAGAUGCACGCACAUGCAAGCGGACGGACAGACAGACAGAUAGAUGGAAAGAGGGACGGCUUGGAAAAUGUGCGCCACAUCCGCUCGCUGAAGGCUCUUUAGAUCUCGCAGACUCCGGCUUCGAGUCGACCUCGGUCUCGGUUUAUGCCAUUGGCUGCAUUUCUUGGAAAACGUUUAAAACCAGAACAAGCAAGCUGAUGAUAGAGAGAGCGAGAGCGGGACUUAGGGAGCAGGACAAGUGACUCAACUAUGCACUUGAAAAUGAAAAUGCUGUGUAAUUAAUUACGAGCAGAUCCAAAGGCAAGGGGAAGACGCGGACGUCACAGACAGACGGACAGCCGGACAGCAGUCAGUUUUACCUUAUGCCUGGGAAAUUAGAACGGCUGUUUUUAAGUGCGCUAAAAGGAAGUUAUCCUCGGUGCACAUGUCUCUCUUCCAAAUGACAAAGGAAAUGCCAAUGGAAUACCUACAUAAAAUUCGACUUUUUAUGAGUCAAGAGUUUUCAUUUCGAUCACAGCACUUUGCCAGUUUUUAUAGUAGAAAAUUCACACAACAGCUGGGCAUUUUCAUUGUGCAAUUAGAAAUUCACACGUUCAACAGAUAGAAACAUUGAAACAAUAUAUAUAAAGACUUCAUAUGAAGAGCGGAAGAGUAGAAUUGUGUGAUAAGUAAGCCAGUAAUU
Drosophila nasuta is the source of this 2073-nucleotide long non-coding RNA. RefSeq lists it as uncharacterized. The record is from RefSeq and is a predicted model, not a curated record. NCBI's taxonomy places the organism in Eukaryota, Metazoa, Arthropoda, Insecta, Diptera, Drosophilidae. The transcript is spliced from 3 exons.